UGGUGAUUAUUUAUUUGAAACGUUUUUCGAAAUUCCCAAAAAUUCCCCUCCUACUCCAUUUUCGUACAACCACUUUAAAUUUUGAAUGAGUUUUUUUAAACCUGACCAAUUACUCAAAUUGACCCCACUUUCAGCGUCUAUAGACUAGAUACCUCAUGUUUCACAACGAGUUCAUAUACAUAUAUACACGAUACUCGAUGCAUUGAUU
Molecule: non-coding RNA, 208 nt
Organism: Cinara cedri
Lineage: Eukaryota; Metazoa; Arthropoda; Insecta; Hemiptera; Aphididae
Source: the annotation of a GenBank genome assembly